UACGGAGGGUGCAAGCGUUAUCCGGAUUCAUUGGGUUUAAAGGGUGCGUAGGCGGUCUAAUAAGUCAGUGGUGAAAGCCUUCCGCUUAACGGGAGAACUGCCAUUGAUACUGUUAGACUUGAAUCUAGUUGAAGUGGGUGGAAUACAUCAUGUAGCGGUGAAAUGCAUAGAUAUGAUGUAGAACGCCGAUUGCGAAGGCAGCUAACUGGGCCUUGAUUGACGCUGAGGCACGAAAGCGUGGGGAGCGAACAGGAUUAGAUACCCGGUAGUCC
RNAcentral lists this ribosomal RNA (272 nucleotides) under uncultured bacterium. RNAcentral describes it as "partial 16S ribosomal RNA". It matches the Rfam family "Bacterial small subunit ribosomal RNA", at positions 524 to 796 of the family's 1533-position model. The record is from RNAcentral.